Molecule: long non-coding RNA, 2092 nt
Filed under: Olea europaea subsp. europaea
Lineage: Eukaryota; Viridiplantae; Streptophyta; Magnoliopsida; Lamiales; Oleaceae
Source: RNAcentral
CCAGAUUUUACUUUCAUCGUCUCACGCACAAGCCUCAUUCUACUGUCCUGUCUCGACUCUCCCUAAGGAAAACCAUUCUUUUUCUUUGGUUUUCAUUACAAGAAUCUGUUUGUAUAGAAUUGUUCCUCAGGUAAGAUUCAGAAUAGGCCUUUUCUUUUCUAAUAAAUUUCUUACUAAACAUGAAGUAGUUUCAGACUUUCAGUUUCAUUUUUGGUUUAUUUUUGGAACUUUAUUCUUGAGGCUUUACAUUUCCUGCUAAAUUCAGUAGAAUUAUACUUGUAGACUUUUUAUUAAAAAUUGUCGUUGUGUUAUUGAUUAUGAUUCAUACAGUAACGGGCACUAGAUUUUACCAUCUACUUCUAUACUUUAUAUGAUUUAAUCAUAAAUUGUGUGUUCUAUGUUGGAGUUUUCAUGCUCAGUUUCAUUAAAGAAUAAGAUAAAGGUCUUACAAUUAUAACUGGUACCAAAAAAAUGAUUUCUUCAUUGUUUAUCUAUUUUUCUCAGUAGAUAGAUUGUUCUGUUGGUAUUUUUCUAAUGUAUUCACCAUAUGUAAUUAUGUAGUGGACCCCCCUUGGAUAGGGCUCGUCAAAAUUGAAAUCCGUUUAAAGAUUUACUCUCGUUUUGAUUGUAUCUGUACUUAGUUUUUGAUUUGAUUUGUAGCUGAAGUAAAGAAUGAUGUCACUUAUCAUUAGUUUUGAUUAUCACUGAUUUAGGUGUCAACGAAUCCUUGAUUCAUCGUCUAGUGUUUUAAAAUGCGUCACAACUCCACUGGACAAUAAAUUAAAGGGUUCAAUGCCACCUAAAUGAUCAUCGAAUAGCAUUACUUAUUCUGUCGUACAAAUUUUGCUUGUUGUAGUUAAGUGGAAAUUGAUUUUUCUUAAUUUAACUAGUAAAAUUUGUUGGGACUCAAGAAAUUUUGGGCCUCGAUCUAUCCAAAAAGAUUUGAUUUCUUGGUUUUGACUUUUUAGCAUAUGCAUUGAAUGUUGUUCAGAGUUAUUACUAAAUUAGAAGAAAAUUGGCACAACUAUAUAUGCACUAGCAGAUUUUUUUCUUCAAGCUUUUUCUUUUUCUUGUUUUCAAAAAAAGGAAAGAAAAAAGGGUUGAGUAUCAACCUUGAGGGCCUCACUGCCCCGGUCCUGAAGUAUCGUGAGAGAGGUAAAUCGCGGGAUGUGUUCCAACAGGCCAGAUAACAAGAGCUUGCCCGUACACUGGUGCCCACAAAGAGUCCAAUUUUAUAUCGCAAGAAUUGAACCAUCACACUGCGAUUGUCAGUAAAGUUGAGACUAUCUUACUCUUAUCUUUUGCACCACUGAAAUAUGUCUUGGGGGCUUCUUGUUUUUCUUUUCUUGGUGUUUGGGGAAAGGGUAAGGGGGACAGAAAUCAGAAGGUACACUGAAAUUUUAAAUGGAGUUUCUAAUCUGAUUUCAAAUGGAAUAAUUCUUAGUCUUAUUCAUCCGCCACCUUGUCAAGCGUCAAAGGAACUCCCAAUCCUAUCUAAUGCAGCUGUGUAGAUUGCCUUUGACAAUUUAUCAACUUGCUUGAUUUGCUUUUGCUUUCCUGUUUGCAGUGUUGUACUUUCAUGAAGUUUGCAGUAUAUUCUUGGAUAAAAGCUCACAAGUUUUAUUCUUUUUUUUUUAUACUCAGGUGUCCCAGCUUCGUCAGACUAAAUCCUGAAUCUCUAGCCACCGACCCCUCAGUGACUAGUGGAGGUAAACCGCAGGUUGUGCCCUUGUUGGAUCACAGGUUCCCACCCGAUCUAAACUCCUGGCCUCAAGAGAGUUUUCCUCCAUAGUGAUUGAUCCACCAAUAAAUUGCCCCUUUAUUGGAUCACAGGUUCCCACCAGGAAUCGAACUCUCCACGUUCUUCUGUAGUCAUAUGCAGGUUAUUGUUAAACAUUUUUGUGAUCGAUGGCUUCACCAUGUCUUGAUACUUCCUGGCCAUUCUCAAUCAUUAGAUCCUCCGAUCGAUCUUUCAAUAUACGCCUAGAGGAAGGAAAUUCAACUGAUACCUUAGAUUUUUUUAAGGACAAAAACUCUUCAGUAUGUCACAGUCGUAACAUUCCUAUACCUCCUUGGCCACCUAGUAAAAUUU